AGGAGAUCAGGAGGUGGUGGCCAAGUGCUCCCCCACCAGCGACCGGCAGUGUCAGUGCAAAAAGGGGAGCUUCUACUGCAACUCUGUGGACUGCGUGGAAAACUGCCUGCGGUGUAAAAGGUCCUGGGGGCACAGGCGUGGGCCCCUCCUGUCCUCCCAGUAGUACAGACCCCAGGCUCCCAGUGGUGGUGGAGACAGUCCAAACACACAGGCAGUGAGGACUCUGUGAGGGGGGGGGGGGGGGUAGAGGGCGUGGGAGGGGACCAGGCUCUCAAGCAGAGGCCCGGCAAGGAGGGUAGGGAGCCAUAGAGGGUUCUGGGGGGAAGAGCAGUCCAGGCAGAACGGUAGGACCGCGCCCUGCGGCAGUGCGGGACGGCUGCUGUCCCCGUGGGGGUCCUGUGGCUGCGGUAACAAAGCGCCACAGCUGGGCAGCUUCGAGAAAACCAACAGAAGUGUGUUCUCUCCCAGCUCUGGACACCAGGCGCCUGAAAUCCAGGUGUGAGCAGGGCCGUGCUCCCUCCGCAGGCUCUAGGGGAGGACCCUGCCUCGCCUCUUCCAGCCUCUGACGCUGUGGGCGCCCCGUGAUGCUCCUUCGCUUACCUUCCGUCUGCUUCUGUCUCUGCGAGGUCACCUCUUCUUGCGUGUGUGUCUCGAU
RNAcentral lists this long non-coding RNA (655 nucleotides) under Lynx pardinus (Iberian lynx). Lineage: Eukaryota; Metazoa; Chordata; Mammalia; Carnivora; Felidae. The record is from RNAcentral.